UUUAAAAUGAGAGUUUGAUCCUGGCUCAGGACGAACGCUGGCGGCGUGCCUAAUACAUGCAAGUCGAACGCAAAGCUUUCACCGAAUGCUUGCAUUCACCGGAAGUUUUGA
RNAcentral lists this ribosomal RNA (111 nucleotides) under Lactobacillus sp. UCMA15818. RNAcentral describes it as "partial 16S ribosomal RNA". It matches the Rfam family "Bacterial small subunit ribosomal RNA", at positions 1 to 94 of the family's 1533-position model. The record is from RNAcentral. Lineage: Bacteria; Bacillati; Bacillota; Bacilli; Lactobacillales; Lactobacillaceae.